GUUCUGUAAACACCUCUACCUGAGUCAAUCACUCAGUUCUCAUGCUCAGGAACGCUGUGAAAAUGCCAAAAAGUAAACUUUUGGAGGCAGCGAGGAAUGGACUUAAAUAUGAAAAGUAGACACAACAUUUAAUUCAGUCAUAUUCUGUGGAAAGAUGCUGAUGCAAAAUGUUAAAAUGGAAUGAAGGACAUGCAACUCGACUGCUUUACUGAAAGAUGGCGCAAGACAUUUGUACAAUACGAAACUGUUGCAGUGACAUCUGCUGGUCAGGGUGCCGUAGGAGAAUGCAAUGGCGUUGGGAGGAGUUGCUACAGGAAGCAUGAAGGCCAUUGAAGCAGAAAUAGUGCAGGGCAGCAUGACAUACAGUGGAUGGAGCUUUAUAGCUGUAGCCUGAAUACAGACAAUACACAAAGGGCCAGUUUUGAAUCUGGAUUCAUAGAAUCUUACCAUGGAAGCAAGGAUAGGAAGAAAGAGUGUGGUUGUGGCUGUGUUGCUGGAGCAUUCAGUGAACGUUCCCACCAGUAGACAGAGCAGCAGUGAAAUGGCAAAGGGUGGAAUGCUUUUUAGUGGGGCCAAACUCUCACCCAACCACAGCGACAGCCCAGAAACCUUUGCAACAACAAUAACAUUACUAUGUCAUUAAUAUGCUUUUAUAUACCUAAAAGUACUUUUUAAAAUGUGUUAAAAAUGACAUGGACCACUGAUGCCACUUGACCAUGUUUAAU
Molecule: long non-coding RNA, 725 nt
Organism: Trichomycterus rosablanca
Lineage: Eukaryota; Metazoa; Chordata; Actinopteri; Siluriformes; Trichomycteridae
Exons: 4
Source: RefSeq, a predicted model, not a curated record